RNAcentral lists this ribosomal RNA (1005 nucleotides) under uncultured marine bacterium. Its description in RNAcentral is "bacterial SSU rRNA". It matches the Rfam family "Bacterial small subunit ribosomal RNA", at positions 56 to 1061 of the family's 1533-position model. The record is from RNAcentral.
UGCAGUCGUGCGAGAAAGUAUCUUCGGAUAUGAGUAGAGCGGCGGACGGGUGAGUAACGCGUAGGAAUCUACCUAGUUGAAGGGGAUAGCCCGGGGAAACUCGGAUUAAUACCGUAUACCUCCUUCGGGAGAAAGAAGGCCUCUCAUUGAAGCUUUCGCUACUAGAUGAGCCUGCGUAAGAUUAGCUUGUUGGUGAGGUAAAGGCUCACCAAGGCGACGAUCUUUAGCGGGUCUGAGAGGACGAUCCGCCACAUUGGGACUGAGACACGGCCCAGACUCCUACGGGAGGCAGCAGUGGGGAAUAUUGGACAAUGGGCGCAAGCCUGAUCCAGCCAUACCGCGUGUGUGAAGAAGGCCCUAGGGUUGUAAAGCACUUUAAGUUGGGAAGAAAAGUUAUUGGUUUAUACCCAAUAGCCGUGACAUUACCAUCAGAAUAAGGACCGGCUAAUUCCGUGCCAGCAGCCGCGGUAAUACGGAAGGUCCAAGCGUUAAUCGGAAUUACUGGGCGUAAAGCGCGCGUAGGUGGUUUAUUAAGUUGGAUGUGAAAUCCCCGGGCUCAACCUGGGAACUGCAUCCAAAACUGAUUCACUAGAGUACGAUAGAGGGAGGUAGAAUUCACAGUGUAGCGGUGGAAUGCGUAGAUAUUGUGAAGAAUACCAAUGGCGAAGGCAGCCUCCUGGAUCUGUACUGACACUGAGGUGCGAAAGCGUGGGUAGCGAACAGGAUUAGAUACCCUGGUAGUCCACGCCGUAAACGAUGUCAACUAGCUGUUGGGGAACUAUGUUCUUCAGUGGCGCAGCUAACGUAGUAGUUGACCGCCUGGGGAGUACGGCCGCAAGGCUAAAACUCAAAUGAAUUGACGGGGACCCGCACAAGCGGUGGAGCAUGUGGUUUAAUUCGAUGCAACGCGAAAACCUUACCUAUACUUGACAUACUUGGAAUGCUUUGUAAUGAAGCAGUGCCUUCGGGAGCCAGGAUACAGUGCUGCAUGGCUGUCGUCAGCUC